Molecule: non-coding RNA, 184 nt
Organism: Salvelinus sp. IW2-2015
Lineage: Eukaryota; Metazoa; Chordata; Actinopteri; Salmoniformes; Salmonidae
Source: RefSeq, a predicted model, not a curated record
UCAUCAUGUGAAGGAAAAUGUGACUGCAGUGGAGUGAAAGGAGCAAAGGGUGAGCGUGGGUUUCCUGGUCUCCAAGGCAACAUGGGGUUCCCGGGCAUGCAGGGCCAUGAGGGACCCGCUGGGCCGCUGGGCCCUAAGGGAGAGUAUGGUGAGUCUGGAACUCCCGGGAUGAAAGGAACACGUG